Long non-coding RNA from Myotis daubentonii (Daubenton's bat), 370 nucleotides. RefSeq lists it as uncharacterized. NCBI's taxonomy places the organism in Eukaryota, Metazoa, Chordata, Mammalia, Chiroptera, Vespertilionidae. The record is from RefSeq and is a predicted model, not a curated record.
UGGGUGAAAGUUUGAUGAAGAACAGGACAUUUACAUCUCCCUACAAGAUCCUAUCUCCAUAUGUAAAACCCUAAUAUGCAAAUAGACUGAACGGUGGGAGAACCGAACAACCGAACAAUGGUCGCUAUGAUGUUCUCUGACCACCAGGGGGCACGCAUGGAACAUGGCGGGUGUCGGCUGUGGCAGGAUGGUGGAGCAGGCUCAGCAAGCUUUGGGGCUGAGAAAGGGGGAGCUUUCGUGGUUGAUGACCAGAGAAAAGUGGCCGGGACAGGCACAGCUUAUCUCUGAUGACUCAGAUCUGGCAGAUAUGGGAGAACGUCUCAUCAGGACUGAUGAGGUCCCGGUAGAUGAUCUUGAUGGCGGCUGGAAG